This 251-nucleotide ribosomal RNA is filed under the name uncultured bacterium. Its description in RNAcentral is "partial 16S ribosomal RNA". It matches the Rfam family "Bacterial small subunit ribosomal RNA", at positions 525 to 775 of the family's 1533-position model. The record is from RNAcentral.
ACGUAGGUGGCAAGCGUUGUCCGGAUUUACUGGGUGUAAAGGGCGUGUAGGCGGGAAGACAGGUCAGAUGUGAAAUGUCGGGGCUCAACCCCGGAACUGCAUUUGAAACCGUUUUUCUUGAGUAUCGGAGAGGCAGGCGGAAUUCCUAGUGUAGCGGUGAAAUGCGUAGAUAUUAGGAGGAACACCAGUGGCGAAGGCGGCCUGCUGGACGACAACUGACGCUGAGGCGCGAAAGCGUGGGGAGCAAACAG